CGCCAUCAGGCACGGCGGCGGGGGCACCGCCGCACGGCCAUCGAUCUGGCAGCACCGGAACGGAACUGCUCUACUGCAGUGAUGUGCGGCCCACAAUCUCUUGUACAGCUCGCGUUUGGAGGCGGAGGCAAGGGGGAGGAGGCGCUCGCGGACAAGUCGAGGAACGGCCCACGGCGCGAGCGGCGGCCGGCGGCGAGACUAAG
This 203-nucleotide ribosomal RNA is filed under the name Triticum aestivum (bread wheat). RNAcentral describes it as "partial small subunit ribosomal RNA". The record is from RNAcentral. Lineage: Eukaryota; Viridiplantae; Streptophyta; Magnoliopsida; Poales; Poaceae.